AUGAACGCUGGCGGCGUGCCUAAUACAUGCAAGUCGAGCGAACAGACGAGGAGCUUGCUCCUCUGACGUUAGCGGCGGACGGGUGAGUAACACGUGGAUAACCUACCUAUAAGACUGGGAUAACUUCGGGAAACCGGAGCUAAUACCGGAUAAUAUAUUGAACCGCAUGGUUCAAUAGUGAAAGAUGGUUUUGCUGUCACUUAUAGAUGGAUCCGCGCCGCAUUAGCUAGUUGGUAAGGUAACGGCUUACCAAGGCAACGAUGCGUAGCCGACCUGAGAGGGUGAUCGGCCACACUGGAACUGAGACACGGUCCAGACUCCUACGGGAGGCAGCAGUAGGGAAUCUUCCGCAAUGGGCGAAAGCCUGACGGAGCAACGCCGCGUGAGUGAUGAAGGUCUUCGGAUCGUAAAACUCUGUUAUUAGGGAAGAACAAAUGUGUAAGUAACUAUGCACGUCUUGACGGUACCUAAUCAGAAAGCCACGGCUAACUACGUG
Molecule: ribosomal RNA, 496 nt
Filed under: uncultured bacterium
Lineage: Bacteria
Description: partial 16S ribosomal RNA
Rfam family: Bacterial small subunit ribosomal RNA
Source: RNAcentral